CCAAAACAGCAAAAUGAUUCCUGAGCAAGGUGUAUUCCUCCUGGGAGACUCUGAGCAAGUUAAGAUGACUAAGCUUGAUACCAUCUCUUGCUGUCCACCUAGUAUUAUGUGGAAUGCUGUGCCACCAGUGAGCUGAUCUUGUAGUACAGCUGUCAUGGCAGGAUACGGUAGAGGCCAGUUUUCAGAGGAGUGGGGCACAGAAAUAUACAGAAUAGUUCCAGGCACUGCGAAUAAUGGUUUAAUUGCUGGGUCUCUGUGUUUGUGCUUCAUCCACUACAAAGAAGAAAAUAAGAGGGAAUAUAAAUAUAGGAAUGGACAUGCUGGUUGUAGAUGGAGCUUCCUAGUAUGUUUGAAUGACUGCCAGCAACCUCUCUGUUACUUACAGCACACAUAUUUGUCUCCUGUUUGUGUUGCAUAUUUUCUCAACAAAUGA
RNAcentral lists this long non-coding RNA (433 nucleotides) under Coturnix japonica (Japanese quail). RNAcentral describes it as "lncRNA (ENSCJPG00005017253.1)". The record is from RNAcentral. Lineage: Eukaryota; Metazoa; Chordata; Aves; Galliformes; Phasianidae.